RNAcentral lists this unclassified non-coding RNA (348 nucleotides) under soil metagenome. Its description in RNAcentral is "partial contains 5.8S ribosomal RNA, internal transcribed spacer 2, and large subunit ribosomal RNA". The stretch from base 1 to 120 matches the Rfam family "5.8S ribosomal RNA", at positions 35 to 154 of the family's 154-position model. The record is from RNAcentral.
GAUGAAGAACGUAGCGAAAUGCGAUAAGUAAUGUGAAUUGCAGAAUUCAGUGAAUCAUCGAAUCUUUGAACGCACAUUGCGCCCGCCAGUAUUCUGGCGGGCAUGCCUGUCUGAGCGUCAUUUCAACCCUCAUGCCCCUAGGGCGUGGUGUUGGGGAUCGGCCAAAGCCCGCGAGGGACGGCCGGCCCCUAAAUCUAGUGGCGGACCCGUCGUGGCCUCCUCUGCGAAGUAGUGAUAUUCCGCAUCGGAGAGCGACGAGCCCCUGCCGUUAAACCCCCAACUUUCCAAGGUUGACCUCAGAUCAGGUAGGAAUACCCGCUAAACUUAAGCAUAUCAAUAAGCGGAGGA